Molecule: ribosomal RNA, 253 nt
Filed under: uncultured bacterium
Lineage: Bacteria
Description: partial 16S ribosomal RNA
Rfam family: Bacterial small subunit ribosomal RNA
Source: RNAcentral
UACGUAGGGUGCAGGCGUUGUCCGGAAUUAUUGGGCGUAAAGAGCUCGUAGGCGGUCUGUCGCGUCGGAUGUGAAAAUCCAGGGCUCAACCCUGGACCUGCAUUCGAUACGGGCAGACUAGAGUUCGGUAGGGGAGACUGGAAUUCCUGGUGUAGCGGUGAAAUGCGUAGAGAUGUGGAGGAACACCAGUGGCGAAGGCGACUCUUUGGCCUGUAACUGACGCUGAGGCGCGAAAGCGUGGGGAGCAAACAGG